This 470-nucleotide ribosomal RNA is filed under the name uncultured bacterium. RNAcentral describes it as "bacterial SSU rRNA". It matches the Rfam family "Bacterial small subunit ribosomal RNA", at positions 328 to 794 of the family's 1533-position model. The record is from RNAcentral.
UUUCCAGACUCCUACGGGAGGCAGCAGUGAGGAAUAUUGGUCAAUGGGCGGGAGCCUGAACCAGCCAAGUCGCGUGAGGGAUGACGGCCCUAUGGGUUGUAAACCUCUUUUGCCGGGGAGCAAAGUGCCGCACGUGUGCGGUUUGGAGAGUACCCGGAGAAAAAGCAUCGGCUAACUCCGUGCCAGCAGCCGCGGUAAUACGGGGGAUGCAAGCGUUAUCCGGAUUUAUUGGGUUUAAAGGGUGCGUAGGCUGUGAGGUAAGUCAGCGGUGAAAUGCCCCCGCUCAACGGGGUGAAGUGCCAUUGAUACUGCCUUGCUGGAAUGCGGAUGCCGUGGGAGGAAUGUGUGGUGUAGCGGUGAAAUGCAUAGAUAUCACACAGAACACCGAUUGCGAAGGCAUCUCACGAAUCCGCGAUUGACGCUGAUGCACGAAAGCGUGGGUAUCAAACAGGAUUAGAUACCCCCGUAGU